UUAUUUUUAUUACAUUGGUUUACUAGAUAAAGAUAAUUGUAACUGGAGAAUCAGAACAUUCUAUGAAUUCUAUUUGCAAAUAUUUUUAACAUGAGUUGUUUUUGUUUGGUUUUAUUUUGUUUUCUUUUGCUGUAAAAUAAUUGAGACUUCUCUGAGACUUAACACCUUUAUGGGGUAAUUCAUUAUCUCCAGGCUUAGGGGUUGCUUUGUACCAGGGCCCUUCCUCUACCUAAUAAAGAGAUAGUAGAGAUCUCAAAAGAAGUUAAUUCCCUGAGUCACCAAAAGUAACAAUGAGCAUCAGAACAGGACUUUUUCUAGUACUGAUAUUGGACAAAGAACACUUUUAAGAAAAUACUGCCACUAUCUAAUUCCAAUUUUAUAUGUCUUUCCACUGCUUCUGUAACUUUUAUUCUCUAGAAUUGUGGUGCUCCAUGAUUCCUCCCUCAGUGAAUAUUGCUAUUAAAGAAUCAUUCUCUCCAUAAUACCGAGAAAUAAAGUGGAACAAGUAGUACUGGGUCUUAACUUUUAAACAAUGUUCCUUCCUGUGACUACAAAACAUCUAAAUCUCUUAUGUUCUUUUCUCCUGACUCAGCUUCAGUUGUCCUCCUGAUGGCGUCAUACUUCUCCCCACGUCUCAUUCUCCGCACCCCUUCGAGACCCCUGAAUGCUUGUCAGUAUCACCUAACAAAAUGAGAUAAUGAAGGUCAUUUUACAGAUGAAGAAAUUAAGACAAAGUGGAUUAAGUGAUUUGCUCAAGGUCACGCAGCCAGUAUGUGUCUGAAGUCAGAUUUGGACAUCGGAAAUGAGUCUUCCUGACUCCAAACCUGGCACCCUACUACAUCACCUACCUGCCCAAGGGACUAUUACAAUAGUCCAAGAAAAAGGCAAUGUGACCUUGAUCUAGGCCUAAGGGUAGUGUAAGUAGAGAGAAGGAUGUGAGAUAUGUCAUGGCCAUACAAUCCACAAUACUUUAAAACUGAAUAGAUAUUAGGGAAGGAGGGCCAUGCGGAAGCAAGAGGUCAAGGAUAACUCUAAAUUUGCAAACCUGGAUAAGCAGUAGUAGUAGAGUGAGACUAGAAGGGUUAUCUUGGUAAAUGUUUCUCUGACAUUAAAAAAAAAAAUGUUCCCAGCAGACUUUUAAGUCUGAUCUACAUUAUUUACAUUUUCUCCAGUACUAUCUUAAAACUAAACUAGCAUUGGCCAGUUUUUUCAGGAAAGAGCCAAAGAGUAAAUAUUUCAGGUUUUGCAGGGCAAGAAACAAAAUCAAUAAUAUUGAUAAGGUUCUUAUAUGACAAAAGUGAAACAAAUUUCCGCAAAGUAUUUUACUAACAAAAUUCAAAAUAUAAUAAUUACAUUGUCUUGUAAUACAGGUCUACUCAUGAGAAAAAUGGAAUUCUUCAAUUAAAAAAAAAUACCCUGGAUCCCAACCUGUUUGUGAAAUGAAAGUGAAGUAUGAAACAGAAUUGAGUUACGUUCAGAAGGCAAAAUUAAAUUGUAGUUUCAUAAUCUGGUACAAUGUAACAAGAAAAUGUAAAAUGUUUCCAGAAAAAUCCCAGAUCAAAUCUUGGUUCUGCUACGUACUAACUUUGGGACUCAGGGUAGAUCACCUGUCCUUCCCAAAACUCUGUUUCUUCAUCUGUAAAAUAAUAAUAAUAAUAACUGACAUAUUACACCAUAAAGUUUUCAAAUUGGCAAGAGAUAGAAAACAUUACAAAAUGUAAAAUGAAUAAUUUUGAUUAUAUUAAAUUAAAAAGGGUUUGUACAAACAAAACAAAUGCAACCAAAAUUAGAAAGGAAGCAACAAACUAGGAAAAAAAUUAAUAACAAAAAUCUCUGACAAAGGCCUAAUUUCCCAAAUUUAUAAAGAACUAAGUCAAAUGUACAAGAAAUCAAGCCAUUCCCCAAUUGAUAAAUGGACAAGGGAUAUGAAUUGGCAGUUCUCAGAUGAAGAAAUCAAAACUAUCAAUAAGCACAUGAAAAAGUGUUCUAAAUUCCUCCUGAUUAAAGAAAUGCAAAUAAAAACAACUCUGAAGUACCACCUCAUACCUAGCAGAGUGGCCGAUAUGACAGUAAAGGAAAAUAAUAACUGUUGGAGGGGAUGUGGCAAAAUUGGGACACUAAUGCAUUGCUGGUGGAGUUGUGAAUUGAUUCAACCAUUCUGGAAGGCAAUUUGGAACUAUGCCCAAAGGGCUUUAAAAGUAUGCAUGCCCUUUGACCUAACAAUAUCACCACUAAAUUUGUACCCCCAAAGAGAUAAUUUAAAAGAGUUGUACAAAAAUAUUCACGGUCACACUCUUUGUGGUGGCAAACAAUUGGAAAUUGAGGGGUUUCCCUCCAUUGGGAAAUGGCUAAACAAAUUGUGGUAUACAAUGGUGAUGGAAUACUAUUGUUCUAUAAGGAAUGAUGAACUGCUUUGUUUCUAUAUGACCUGGAAAGGCCUCCAUGAACUGAUGUGAAGUCAAAUGAGCAGAAGCAUGAGACUAUUGUACAUAGAAAGUGAAACAUUGUGGAAUGAUCAAAUGUAAUUGAUGAUCCAGGAUAAUCCCAAGGGAUUUAAGAGAAAGAAUGCUGUCCACAUCAAGAGACAAAACUCUAUGAAUAGAAAUGCAGAAGAAAAACAUAUGCUUUAUCACUUGUUUAUGUGGGUAUAUGAUUUGGGGUUUUGGUUUUUAAAAGAUUACUCUAUUAAAAAAUGAAUAAUAUGGAAAUAGGUAUCAAGUGAUAACAUAUGUAUAACCCAGUGGAAUUGCUUGUCAGCUCUAGGAGGGGAAGGGAAAAGGGGAGGGAGAGACAAUGAAUCAUGUAA
Molecule: RNA transcript, 2806 nt
Organism: Monodelphis domestica (gray short-tailed opossum)
Lineage: Eukaryota; Metazoa; Chordata; Mammalia; Didelphimorphia; Didelphidae
Source: RefSeq, a predicted model, not a curated record